GCGUCUGUCGUAUAAUGGCUAUUACCUCAGACUUCCAAUCUGAUGAUGAGGGUUCGAUUCCCUCCAGACGCU
Molecule: transfer RNA, 72 nt
Filed under: Oceanispirochaeta sp. M1
Lineage: Bacteria; Pseudomonadati; Spirochaetota; Spirochaetia; Spirochaetales; Spirochaetaceae
Also listed under: 1 other name
Rfam family: tRNA
About the family: Transfer RNA (tRNA) molecules are approximately 80 nucleotides in length. Their secondary structure includes four short double-helical elements and three loops (D, anti-codon, and T loops).
Source: Rfam by way of RNAcentral